GGGUCCGAGUUGUAAUUUGUAGAGGAUGUUUCGGGCGCGGCGCCGGUCUAAGUCCCUUGGAACAGGGCGUCACAGAGGGUGAGAAUCCCGUAUGUGACCGGUGGCCAACCCCAUGUGAAACCCCUUCGACGAGUCGAGUUGUUUGGGAAUGCAGCUCAAAAUGGGUGGUAAAUUUCAUCUAAAGCUAAAUACCAGCCAGAGACCGAUAGCGCACAAGUAGAGUGAUCGAAAGAUGAAAAGCACUUUGGAAAGAGAGUCAAACAGUACGUGAAAUUGUUGAAAGGGAAGCGCUGGCAACCAGACCUGUCCGUGGGCUUCAGCCCCCGUUUUCGGAGGUGUACUUGUCCGCGAUCAGGCCAGCAUCGGUUCGGGCGGUUGGAUAAAGGUCUUGGGAAUGUAGCUUCCUCCGGGAAGUCUUAUAGCCCUCGGCGCAAUGCGGCCAGCCCGGACCGAGGACCGCGCUCG
RNAcentral lists this ribosomal RNA (465 nucleotides) under Lecidella aff. euphorea ZX YN0186-2. RNAcentral's name for it is "eukaryotic LSU rRNA". It matches the Rfam family "Eukaryotic large subunit ribosomal RNA", at positions 134 to 603 of the family's 3401-position model. Lineage: Eukaryota; Fungi; Ascomycota; Lecanoromycetes; Lecanorales; Lecanoraceae. The record is from RNAcentral.